UCGCCCAGGGGCAUAAGCCUCCCGGUGGAUGGCUCGGCUCGGGCGCCGACGAAGGGCGCGGCAAGCGGCGAUAUGCCCGGGGUAGGGGCAAGCACCCGUUGAUCCCGGGAUCCCCGAAUGGGAAUUCCUGGCGGAGCUUAACAGGCUCCGCCGCCCCGUAAGGGGCGGGAACCCCCCGAACGGAAACAUCUUAGUAGGGGGAGGAAAAGAAAUCAAACGAGAUCCCCCGAGUAGGGGCGACCGAAAGGGGGACAGCCCAAACCAAAUCCCGGGGCCGUAAGGUCUCGGGAGAUGUGGUGUUUUGCCCUGGUGGUGGGCGGAGCCCGGGCUACCCGGGGGCCUAGCCGAACUCCCCUGGAAUGGGGGGCCAUAGAGGGUGACAGCCCCGUAGGCUAAAGGCUACCCGGGGGCCUGAGCCAGGGCAGAGUACCAUCCCCUGGUUUGGGGGUGGGAAGAUGGGGGACACGUGCCUCCAAGGCUAAAUACGUCCCGAGACCGAUAGCGAACUAAGUACCGUGAGGGAAAGCUGAAAAGCACCCCUAACGGGGGGUGAAAAGAGCCUGAAACCGGGAGGUCACACAGCGCAGGGCUCGAAAGGGAUGAGUCCUCCCGAAGGAAAGGGGCGCGAGCCUCGAGUACGAGGGAGGAGGACCGGGGUCCUGCGUUUCGUCUUGAAACACGGGCCGGGGAGUUCCUGCCAGUGGCGAGCCUAAGGGGGUCAACCCCGAAGGCAUAGGGAAACCGAGCGCCCGCAGCCGGGGAAACCCGGCGAGGGGCGGGGUCCGCAAGGGCCUGGAGUCACUGGCAGGAGGCUAGAAACCGGGCGAUCUAGUCCGGGGCAGGCCGAAGGCGGGGGAAACCCCGCUGGAGGGCCGAAUAGGGGUUCUGACGUGCAAUUCGUUCCCUUGACCCCGGACUAGGGGCAAAAGACCAAUCUAGCCCGGUGAUAGCUAGUUCCCCCCGAAAUGCGUCUUAGCGCAGCCCUCCCGGAGGUAUCCGGCAGGGUAGAGUUACAGAUUGGAGGCCUCGAGGGAAACCUCGGGGUCUCCAGUCUAACUCCGAACCUGCCGGAGCCGAAGAAGGGAGGAGUGGGUCGCCCGGCGUAAGGUUGGGCGGCGAGAGGGGAACAACCCAGACCCGGGUUAAGGCCCCUAAGUCCCGGUUAAGUGCCAAUCAAAGGGCGUCCCCAGCCUUAGACAGCGGGGAGGUGGGCCCAGCAGCAGCCAUCCUCUAAGGAGUGCGUAACAGCUCACCCGCCGAGGCUGGGGGCCCCGAAGAUUGGUCGGGGCUCAAACCGGGCGCCGAUACCCGGGUGGUGGGCCUCUUUGAGGCUCACCAGGUAGGGGGGCGCUGCGGCGGGGCAGAAGGCGGGCCGUGAGGUCCGCUGGACCCGUCGCAGGUGCAGAUCCCGGCGGCAGUAACAGCGAGGGGAGGUGAGAAUCCUCCCCGCCGGAAGGGCAAGGGUUUCCCGGCAAUGGUCGUCAGCCGGGAGUGAGCCGGUCCUAAGGCGGGGCCUAACUGGUACCCGCCGAAAGGGAAAGGGGUUAAUAUUCCCCUGCCCCGGGGGUAGGUGCGGCAACGCAAGGCCUGCCUCCGACGGAUCGGGGUAGGGGGAGCGGGCCACCGCCCGCCCAAGCCCUGAAGCCCCUGGAGAACCGUAACGGUGAGAAGGGGGCGAAGGGGUGACGGGCCCUCCGUUAGGAGGGUUCCCCUGAUCCCUGGUCCCCAUGAAAAGGGGGCAGGCAGCGAUCCCCCGGGACCGUACCGAGAACCGACACAGGUGCCCCUGGGUGAGAAGCCCAAGGCGUCUGGGGGGUAACCCAGGCUAGGGAACUCGGCAAAUUAGCCCCGUAACUUCGGGAGAAGGGGUGCCUACCACGGUGGUGAACCCGCCGUGGUAGGUCGCAGUGACCAGGGGGACCUGACUGUUUAAUAAAAACAUAGGUCCCCGCUAGCCCGAAAGGGUGUGUACGGGGGCUAAAUCCUGGCCACUGGCGGUAGGUGAAACCCGGGUUCAACCGGGCGAAGCCCCGCUGAAGGCCGGGGGUAACUCUGACCCUCUCAAGGUAGCCAAAUGCCUUGCCGGGUAAGUUCCGGCGCGCAUGAAUGGAUCAACGAGGUCCCCACUGUCCCAGCCCGGGGCCCCGUGAACGCCCUGAGCCGGUGCACAGUCCGGCAACCCCCGACCCCGAGAGAAGACCCCGUGGAGCUUCACCGCAGCCUGGCGUUGGCUCCCGGGGGUUCAUGCGUAGCGUAGGUGGGAGGGGUCGAAGCCGCUCCUCCGGGGGCGGUGGACCCGAAAGUGAAACACCACCCAUGGACCCUCGGGAGCCUUACCCCGCAAGGGGGACAGCGUCAGGUGGGCGGUUCGGCUGGGGCGGCACUCCCGCGAAAAGGUAACACGGGAGCCCAAAGGUCGGCUCAGGCGGUACAGAACGCCGCCGUAGAGUGCAAGGGCAAAAGCCGGCCUGACGAGGCCCUUCAAAGCACGGGGCCUCGACGCGAAAGCGCGGCCUAGCGAACGCUCGUGCCCCCACACGUGGGGGCCGGGCAUGACAGAAAAGUUACCCCGGGGAUAACAGGGUCGUCGCGGGUGAGAGCUCACAUCGACCCCGCGGUUUGCUACAUCGAUGUCGGCUCUUCCCACCCUGGGGGUGCAGCUGCCCCCAAGGGUAGGGCUGCCCGCCCGUUAAAGGGGAGCGUGAGCUGGGUUUAGACCGUCGCGAGACAGGUCGGACUCUAAGGGUCGGGGGUGCUGGGGGCCUGAGGGGAAGGUACCCCUAGUACGAGAGGAACAGGGUACCGGGGCCUCUGGUUUACCGGUUGUCCUGCCGGGCAGCGCCGGGCAGCUACGCCCUGAGGGGUAACCGCUGAAAGCAUCUAAGCGGGAACCCCUCCCCGAAAAGAGGCCCCCGUGGGGGGUUAACCCCCGAGACCCCUCCCCUAGAACAGGGGGUUGAUGGGGCGGGGGUGCAAGCCCCGAGGGCGAAAGCCCGAGGGGUUCAGCCCGCCGCUCCCAAUCGGGGGAGCCCCUAAGGGA
This 3040-nucleotide ribosomal RNA is filed under the name Sulfolobales archaeon. RNAcentral's name for it is "23S ribosomal RNA". It matches the Rfam family "Archaeal large subunit ribosomal RNA". Lineage: Archaea; Thermoproteati; Thermoproteota; Thermoprotei; Sulfolobales. The record is from RNAcentral.